UGCUCUUCUCACUCUGACAGGCUGCAGAAUAACGACCACGUUUUCCUCCAGAUCAUCCCAUCUUCCUAGGGGAUGGGCAAGGGAAAUGGCUGUGGUGGAUCCAGCUCAGAUGCCAGUGACCUUUGAGGAGGUGGCUAUGUAUUCACUGAGGGGCAGGGGGCUCUGCUGGACCCCGGUCAGAGAGCCCUCUACAGGGACAUCAUGCAGGAGAAUUAUGAGACUGUGACCUCUCUGGUACUCCCCAUUCCAAAACCUGACCUGACCUCCCGGCUGGAAGGAGGGGAAGAGCUGUGGAUCCUGGUGUUACACCCCAAGGUCCCCUCUCUCAGGGAGUCCCCUGGGAAAGAGAUCAGCAUUGUAUAUUGCUAACGCUGUUGCUACCAUUGCAAAGCAUUUUGGGGAGGGUCAAAGGUGUGUGAGUGGGGAACGGAAGAUUCCUUUGCAGGAGUACGAGAGGCCGAGAGAGGGGGAGAAGAAAGAAGAAAGCAGAGAACGGGUUAACUCAAUAGUGCAACUAACAAGCUCAGUCCGAAGAUAAGACGCUAACUCCAGCUAGCU
Chelonia mydas (Green sea turtle) is the source of this 558-nucleotide long non-coding RNA. RefSeq lists it as uncharacterized. The record is from RefSeq and is a predicted model, not a curated record. The transcript has 3 exons. NCBI's taxonomy places the organism in Eukaryota, Metazoa, Chordata, Testudines, Cheloniidae.